AACAGGUUCUUCCAGCUUUUCUUCUGCAUAAACAAAGUGAAAAUGGCAUUCCAUCAACUAAUUUUCUCAUUCAAAACCAAUUCUAUGCAGAGAUAACGCAACAACGAGCAAAGUCACCAUCUACAAAAAUGCAAAUUUUGCAUAAAAAAAAUGUUGUGAAACAAUCACAAAAUCAAGACUUCAAAGCUGAGAGCGAUUGGGACCAAUGACACAAACGGUAUUUGCAAAAGAAUGACAAUAUUGAGGGAAUGCAAUGAGAGUUUUUUCUGAAAGGCCAAUAAAAUUAUACAACAAAUUGACGCUAUAAAGUGAAGACAUUCUAAUAUAUUGAUCAAUGAUUAAUCAAGCCAGCUCUCCUAUGAACCAAAUAAAUGGAACACCUAUAAAAUAUUCCAUUAUUUAUUACCAUUAAGAUCACAAACUACUCUUCUCUAGGGACAUUUUUCUUCUCUUUUUUUUUUUCUUCUUGUAGGGUGGGUAGAGGGUGGUAAAUGUUACUUUCUACUUCAAAAACUAAAAUAAAAAAUCACUAUAUUUAUGUGAGGAUUUUUCUGUGAUGUAAGCCAGAAAAUUAAAAAUUACUCCUGCCUGACAUAAACAUAUACAUGCCUACAUGGAUAUGCCUAUUUUGUAUCUUAGUUGCAUAAAUCCUUUACCUUCUAUCGUAUUUCACUUUUCACUGAAUUUUUGUACUUUUCAUUAAAAGUAACAGCAUCAUAGUAUAUUAAAAAAAAGAUAUCUUUUGUAUGACAUGGCUAAAGCUUUUGAAAAAUUAACGGACUGAUAGAUUGGAGAACGUCAUGGAAAAACAAAGCUUUUGAGGGUCAAAAAAUAAAUAUUGAUAUUCAGUCUUAAUAAG
Molecule: unclassified non-coding RNA, 859 nt
Filed under: Hevea brasiliensis (rubber tree)
Lineage: Eukaryota; Viridiplantae; Streptophyta; Magnoliopsida; Malpighiales; Euphorbiaceae
Source: RNAcentral